GACGAACGCUGGCGGCGCGCUUAACACAUGCAAGUCGAACGGAAAGGCCUGCUUUCCCUUGUGGAUUGCGGGUACUCGAGUGGCGAACGGGUGAGUAACACGUGAGUGAUCUGCCCCCAACUUGGGUAUAAGCCUGGGAAGCUGGGUCUAAUUCCCGAUAGGACUGCAGGGUGGUGCCUGUGGUGGAAAACGAUUUUCUAGUGGUUGGGGAUGAGCUCGCGGCCUAUCAGCUUGUUGGUGGGGUAAUGGCCUACCAAGGCGGCGACGGGUAGCCGGCCUGAGAGGGUGGACGGCCACAUUGGGACUGAGAUACGGCCCAGACUCCUACGGGAGGCAGCAGUGGGGAAUAUUGCACAAUGGGCGGAAGCCUGAUGCAGCGACGCCGCGUGGGGGAUGACGGCCUUCGGGUUGUAAACUCCUUUCGACCGCGAGGAAGCUACCUGGUUGGAAGGGUGGUGACGGUAGUGGUAGAAGAAGCACCGGCUAACUACGUG
Molecule: ribosomal RNA, 494 nt
Filed under: uncultured bacterium
Lineage: Bacteria
Description: partial 16S ribosomal RNA
Rfam family: Bacterial small subunit ribosomal RNA
Source: RNAcentral